GAUGAACGCUGGCGGCGUGCCUAAUACAUGCAAGUCGAGCGAACAGACGAGGAGCUUGCUCCUCUGACGUUAGCGGCGGACGGGUGAGUAACACGUGGAUAACCUACCUAUAAGACUGGGAUACCUUCGGGAAACCGGAGCUAAUACCGGAUAAUAUAUUAAACCGCAUGUUUCAUUAUUGAAAGACGGUUUUGCUUUCCUUUUUAGAUGAAUCCGCGCCGCAUUAGCUAGUUGGUAAGGUAACGGUUUACCAAGGCAACGAUCCGUAGCCGACCUGAGAGGGUGAUCGGCCACACUGGAACUGAGACACGGUCCAGACUCCUACGGGAGGCAGCAGAAGGGAAUCUUCCGCAAUGGGCGAAAGCCUGACGGAGCAACGCCGCGUGAGUGAUGAAGGUCUUCGGAUCGUAAAACUCUGUUAUUAGGGAAGAACAAAUGUGUAAGUAACUAUGCACGUCUUGACGGUACCUAAUCAGAAAGCCACGGCUAACUACGUG
RNAcentral lists this ribosomal RNA (497 nucleotides) under uncultured bacterium. Its description in RNAcentral is "partial 16S ribosomal RNA". It matches the Rfam family "Bacterial small subunit ribosomal RNA", at positions 28 to 507 of the family's 1533-position model. The record is from RNAcentral.